This is a non-coding RNA of Fukomys damarensis (Damara mole-rat), 82 nucleotides long. The record is from Rfam. Lineage: Eukaryota; Metazoa; Chordata; Mammalia; Rodentia; Bathyergidae.
GGUAGUGUGGCCGAGUGGUUUAAGGUGCUGGAUUUAGGCUCCAGUCUCUAUGGAGGUGUGGGUUCAAAUCCCACCCCUGCCA